RNAcentral lists this ribosomal RNA (26 nucleotides) under Ischnocnema verrucosa. RNAcentral's name for it is "partial 12S ribosomal RNA". The record is from RNAcentral. Lineage: Eukaryota; Metazoa; Chordata; Amphibia; Anura; Brachycephalidae.
AGUAUACCGGAAGGUGUGCUUGGCAA